RNAcentral lists this ribosomal RNA (277 nucleotides) under uncultured bacterium. RNAcentral's name for it is "partial 16S ribosomal RNA". It matches the Rfam family "Bacterial small subunit ribosomal RNA", at positions 81 to 354 of the family's 1533-position model. The record is from RNAcentral.
CGUCCUGCCGGCGACCGGCGCACGGGUGAGUAACACGUAUGCAACCUGCCCGUGGCAGGGGGAUAAGCGGGGGAAACCCCGUCUAAUACCGCGUAACGCGGCCUUGGGGCAUCCCAAGGCCGCCAAAGGGAGCAAUCCCGGCCACGGAUGGGCAUGCGGCGCAUUAGCUAGUCGGCGGGGUAACGGCCCACCGAGGCGACGAUGCGUAGGGGUUCUGAGAGGAAGGCCCCCCACACUGGUACUGAGACACGGACCAGACUCCUACGGAAGGCAGCAG